Long non-coding RNA from Rhagoletis zephyria (snowberry fruit fly), 453 nucleotides. RefSeq lists it as uncharacterized. NCBI's taxonomy places the organism in Eukaryota, Metazoa, Arthropoda, Insecta, Diptera, Tephritidae. The record is from RefSeq and is a predicted model, not a curated record.
UAUUGAAAUCAUCUUAUUUAUACUCUAACAUCUUAUGUACUACUUAUUUACUACAAUACAUAUUUACUUAAAAUUCUUACUAGCUGAAUCUCUCGCUUGCACAUAUGAGCAUGCAUUCAUAUGUGCCUAGCUCAAAGCAUAGCUCAGUGAAGUCACCAACACACACACAACCAUUUCUAAUGUGGAGCUACAAGCAAUGCAUCCACAGACAUAUCUACAUGUACCAAGCGUGAAGGUGCUAGCAGCGCAGUCGUACAUAUUUACAUACAUAGAGCUAGCGCAUGCACCAGAUAUAGCUUGUGCCGCUUGUGUGUUUAGCGUGUGAAAAUAACAAAGUAAGGAAUUUGUUUAUGCUGCAAAAAUGCAUAACACAGGCGUGUGGCUUUGUUGUUGUUAGUGACUUAUUCUGAUAUACUACACUUAUUCCUGAGAAACUAGUGUUCCAAAAGUGGC